This is a long non-coding RNA of Camponotus floridanus (Florida carpenter ant), 153 nucleotides long. RefSeq lists it as uncharacterized. The transcript is spliced from 2 exons. The record is from RefSeq and is a predicted model, not a curated record. NCBI's taxonomy places the organism in Eukaryota, Metazoa, Arthropoda, Insecta, Hymenoptera, Formicidae.
GCCGGCAGCCGGCAGGGCUGCGUUCGAAAACAUCAUCCGAGUGUACUCAGAUACUUUCAUCGUAAAAAAAAGAAAGAUAGCGAGUGCGUAUUAGUAGAAUUUAUUAACGAGGAUUAUAAAGUCGCAGUAGGCUACUGAUCGUGGCUUCAAAAU